AUACUACAACAUUUGUCUUAGGAGCCUUGAAAACUCCUAACAUCACCAACUAAACAGUUUACUAGCUACACAUAAAGCUAACAGAGGGAUCGAGUAAUGAGUUUUCGAGCUAAACAGAAAACAAGAUAAGCAACACCAAACCAUACAGAUACGUUUUGUAUAAAACAAACACAUAUAAACCCGAGUAAAAGAAAAAAAAUCGACGUUGAAAUCGAUUGAAAACAAAAUGGUGUUUCCAAACCGUAAGAACAAACAAGAAGAUCCCUAAAUCGAUUGAAACCGAUAACGUAUUGAAACCCUAACUACAAACCAAAAGAUCCCCAAAGCAACUGAAAACCCUAACUACAAACCAAAAGAUCCCCAAAGCAAUUGAAAACCCGGAAGCAUAGAGGGAGACGAGAACAACAAGGAACCUAAUCUAAUCCUUAAAUCUACCACAGAAAAACGAAGCAUCGAGCUACGAUUCAAACGGAAAAAUGAAGCAUAGAGGGAGACGAGAACAACAAGGAACCUAAUCUAAUCCUUAAAUCUACCACAGAAGAAUAUGAUUUACCUUUGAAGAUCACGGAAGAACACGAUCUACGACGGAUCGAAAUCGCCUUUACGUCUCGAGCUCUGAUUUUUUUUUCUCGCCUUCGGUCCCGAAUGAAUUUUUUUUUUCGCAAAACCAAACACAAUAGCUCACCGAGUCUAUCCUCCUCCGACACUUGCACUAAGGAUCAAGUCCUUCAUAUCUUUAUUUACGGACUGAUCCGUUGUUAUGUUAGCCAAAAUAUUAUUAUUAUAUUUCAUUAAUCAUAUGAUUACCUUCUAAGGACUCUUCUUGGACCGCUGUUGCGGAUGGUCUUAGUUCAUCUCUUGUGACCUUCAGCUUAUCGGUUUAAUAUUUGGUACUUGGGUCAUUGGCUUAUAGCCUUAUAUAUUGAUAUUACUUCAAUUUUACGGGAGAAAACGCAUUGCGAGAGCUUGCUAUAUGGGCUUUUAAGAAUCGCCUACGUUUUGCACUACUGAAUCGACCGGGCCAACCCACAAAUUAUAUAGUCCAAGAUUUAAUUUAAAGAAACUUUUUAAAUUAAGCAAAGUGCAUGUGUAGAGGCUAUGUGCCACGUACAUAUAAAAUGCGAUUAGAAGUCCACGCAUGUCUUGAACGUGGUGCUGAGAUUUGCGCGGAGGCAGACGUACUAGAUUUUUUUCCAAAUAGGGUCAAUUUUACACACAGACGGUGAUUGCCUCCGUUGCAAGUCUUGAAAUCAUUCGUCGGGGGUAUGGAAUUUCUUCAGACGGUGAUUGCCUCCGUUGCAAGUCUUGAAAUCAUUCGUCGGGGGUAUGGAAUUUCUUCAGACGGUGAUUGCCUCCGUUGCAAGUCUUGAAAUCAUUCGUAGGGGGUAUGGAAUUUCUUCAGGUUAUUUAUUAGACAUUAAUUUACUCAUGUUUUCUCAAUUUACUGUUUACCCAUUAGACUUUUAAUUUUCAACUAUCCUGGAUUGGUUAACGUUCGUUAAAACAGGUUGGAAAACGAAACAUUUAAACAAUGUUGAAAACUUUAGAGCUUUUAGGCGGUUUUAUUACGUAUAUAUAACUACGACUACGGACCAAUAAAUGUUUGUUGAAGACAUCAUAACCAUUCUUACGUGGCCCUAUGAUCUAAUCAAUUUUAGUAUGAUAGAGCCCAUGUGCAUUGUGAAAAGGACACUAGUCAAAUCAUGGUCAUAUCUACAUAAGUCAUAUGUUCAAAGAUUUGUCACGAACUCGUCAACAAAUUCAACCGUGGUAUUCGUAUGAAUAUUUAUAAAAAUUUUUUAAUGUUCAUAUAUCCCAUCUAUUUUAUUUUUUCAAUAUAAGUACCUAUCGAUCGAGUCAUACUAUGUGUACUGAAAUAACACUUUCUUAUAUUUUGUCAUCGUUUACAACAGUUACUUCUUCUCAACUUUUAUGAAUUAAUUGAAAAAGAAAACUACGCGGGAUGGUCAUGGCUUGUUUUUUAAUAAGCAUUCUUUUAAAAGAGCUAGAAAAUUCCUGAAGAGAAAGAUGACAAAGAUUAAUACCAUAGACCUAUAAUAAGCUUUUUGAUGGAAUUUAUUCCCUAUAAACUAAUAGAAAAGAGAAAGCUUAUAAAACAAAGCUGAAUUGAAAGCCAUUCAAAAGUUAAUCCAAAAUUAAGAAACAUAAUAAAACAAAAAGUAGACGUAUAAAGUGGGAUUCACACACGUCAAAAUUCCCAAAGCCCUAAUAAUUAAAUCUAAUUACAUAACGUACGGAAUCACUUAUUUUUUCAACACGUACUGGAAUAACUUUAACAAUAUCAAAAUAUUAUUUGAUUGGACAAAAAGUUAUAACAAACUUUUAGGGUGCACGAAAAUCAUGCUUUUGAAUUAGUUUCAAAUAGUUACUAUUAGAUCUUUGGACACAAAUUACAAUGAAGGUUAAAACAUUCAUCAAAAACAUAGACAUCAACAAAUAUAUUCGAUAUAAAUUCCUUUCAAAUUCUAUACACACAAAUAACUUUUGUUUAAUUUUGUCAAAAAAAUAAUAACUUUUGUUAAUUUGAUUUUGAUCAUAACAAUUUUUAUUUACCAAUAUUAAAUUAUAGAAUAAUUAUAGAAAAUUUUGACGGUUAUUCUUUGUAAGAACGUAAUACAACUUUGUUGAACCUCCAUCACUUGAAAACCAAUAAUAACAAUCAAACGUUUGAACUCACAAUAGACAUGAAUUGCCAAGAAUUUCAAUCUGAAUUUCUACGAAACAAAAAAGCUAUAUUGCAAUAGAAAUCGACGUAUUUGACAAGAUCAUAUAUUAGAUCGCUAUGAUAAUAUAUUUUCUUCAUAACUAUCGCGGGUUGAACACAAUCAACAUGAACGAGAAAUUGGUUGCAAAGGACAAAUGAUACAAAGAGGGAUCCGAUGUUUUGUUUCCACGUUGUAAUGAUAUAUAAUAUCGGAAUAUUAGAUACUACAUAUCAUAUCAAUCAACUCAUUGCUAAUAUGGUUGAAGGAUCCUACUCAAUACACAAAUAUCCUACUCAUUGUCAAGCUUAUCGUUCAAACUGUUAUCUACACUAUUUGGAAGGAGAGAAACUCUCGACUGCAUAUGAAUUUAUGCAGACCUCCUCAGGCAAUUAUUCAGGAUGUCAAACAGACUUUGAGAUUGAGGUUUGACCCGCUGUCUCGGAACAUGAGGAUCACCAGUAGCUCCUCUCUUACUUUUUUGGGAACUUGGUUAAAUCUUUUUUGAGGGCAUUGUUAAUUCCUUUGUAUAGUCUGGUCUCUAGAUUUUCUUUAUUAAAGGUAGGUGGUUUCUGUACGUUUCCUGUCUAUGAAAUAAAAGUAGUUUUUAUUAUAAAUAAAAAACUCAUCGCUAAUAAUUUUCAUUUGGAAACUAACAGAUAACAGCUUUCAAAUACUCAUAAUAGAAUUGGAUGAUACGAUAAGAGUAUCCGAAUACCUGCCCACCGAGAAUCCGACAAAAUCGGGAAGGUCAAAGUGGAUGUUUAUGUUAUCAUUGAUACAAAGAAAGGCUCGAGAACUAGACUUAUCAACAAGUCGCUAAGAAACAAAUCAUUAAUCAUUCUACUGCCACAGCCAAUCACAAUUUUUUACUUUUCCAGAAAAGAAAAGCAGGAGACCUGUCCAGUGGUAAUUUUUUUUAUCUGUGUAAAAGCAGAUGAUCUUCAUGUCCUUCUACCCUUUCAAUUUUUGAUACAGUUCACGGAUUCCACCCCUUUUUUAUCUAAUAGAAUUUUUUAGUAAAAUUAAAUUAAUUCUGAAAAUAUUAAUUCACCACUUAUAAAUAAAGAGAGUAAGAACAUAACUAGUUCCAUACUUCGAUUAAAAGAGGUUCUAGGCAACAACAAAAAAUAUGAUUUUGUAUUAUAAUCUUCUAACAACAUUAGAGAUAAUAUUGCAGAAAUGUUAUGGGCAAAUCAAAAUACUUUUCAUUAAAUUAUUUUAUAUUUGUUAUGUAUUGUUAUAUAUUGUGUGUUUUGAAAUUUUAGUAUAACUUUUAUUAUAAAAAUAUAUGAUCUGCAACGCUUGAACUGCUUUUGUCAUUCAUAUUAUUUGAUCUGCUUGAUCCGCAACUCUCCUGCAUAAUCCAUUUGAUCUGUAUUUGUUCUGCUCGAUCUGCACCGCUUGAACUGAUUUUCCAAUUUGGAACCUCAGAUCUCUAUCACUUUUAUUUUAUCAUAGGCAAAUAGCCAAAUACAAGUCAGUUCAAA
Long non-coding RNA from Brassica napus (rape), 4213 nucleotides. RefSeq lists it as uncharacterized. The record is from RefSeq and is a predicted model, not a curated record. The transcript is spliced from 3 exons. Lineage: Eukaryota; Viridiplantae; Streptophyta; Magnoliopsida; Brassicales; Brassicaceae.